GUGAAACCGCGAAUGGCUCAUUAAAUCACACCUAAUCUACUGGAUAGUAGUCAGUUACUUGGAUACCUGAGGUAAUUCUUCAGCUAAUACAUGCACACAAGCCUCGAACUUACGUGAGAGGCGCUUUGAUUAGAUCAAAACCAGUCGGCUUAGGCCGUCCCUUUGGUGACUCUGAAUAACUUUGGGCUGAUCGCAUGGCCUCGCGCCGGCGACAUAUCCUUCGAAGGUGUGCCCUAUCAACUGUCGACUGUGGCAUAGACGCCCACAGUGGUUUUGACGGGUAACGGGGAAUCAGGGUUCGAUUCCGGAGAGGGAGCCUUAAAAACGGCUACCACAUCCAAGGAAGGCAGCAGGCACGCAAAUUACCCAAUGACCGAAGGUCGAGGUAGUGACGAAAAAUAACGAUACGGGACUCAUCCGAGGCCCCGUAAUCGGAAUGAGUACACUUUAAAAAAUUUUUAACGAGGAUCUAUUGGAGGGCAAGUCUGGUGCCAGCAGCCGCGGUAAUUCCAGCUCCAAUAGCGUAUAUUAAAGUUGUUGCGGUUAAAAAGCUCGUAGUUGGAUCUCGGCGGGUAGAGGGCGGUAUGCUUGCUAGUAUCACUGCCCUAUUACCCGUAGUUUUGCUAGAGGUUUCGGGGUGCUCUUCGCCGAGUGUCCUGGGAUGCUAGCAGGUUUACUUUGAAAAAAUUAGAGUGCUCAAAGCAGGCUCCUACGCUUGAAUAUUCGUGCAUGGAAUAAUAGAAUAGGAAGUCGUUUCUAUUUUGUUGGUUUUCGGAAAUCGACUUAAUGAUUAAUAGGGACAGUCGGGGGCAUUUGUAUUCAAACGACAGAGGUGAAAUUCUUGGACCGUUUGAAGACAAACUACUGCGAAAGCAUUUGCCAAGAAUGUUUUCAUUAAUCAAGAACGAAAG
This 911-nucleotide ribosomal RNA is filed under the name Paraugaptilus buchani. RNAcentral's name for it is "SSU rRNA". It matches the Rfam family "Eukaryotic small subunit ribosomal RNA", at positions 81 to 989 of the family's 1831-position model. Lineage: Eukaryota; Metazoa; Arthropoda; Copepoda; Calanoida; Arietellidae. The record is from RNAcentral.